Molecule: long non-coding RNA, 1715 nt
Organism: Alligator mississippiensis (American alligator)
Lineage: Eukaryota; Metazoa; Chordata; Crocodylia; Alligatoridae
Exons: 2
Source: RefSeq, a predicted model, not a curated record
UCCGGUCCCGUCCCGCUGGGGUUGGAUGUCUCCGGGGCGGGGCGGUCUGUGUUAUUAGGCAGACUAAAAACUAAAACUCUUGGGUCCAAAACGAUCCCUUUUAUGAGACCAGCUGGGCAAGUUUUGGGGCGCAAAGUCCCUUGGGCAGACCCUGGGGAAAGCAUCGAUGGUUCAAGAUGGGAAAAGUCUCCGUUAUUACACCGACUGGGUGGCGUGUUGGCUUCUGUUCCGCCCUGUGCCAGGAGAAGGGCGUUUGUGCCCCAAAGCUACCGAAGAGCAAUCUUUCCAAGGAGUUGGUCUCCUAGAGGACGCCAGGUUGACCCAAAGCACCUUGUCUGCCCCAAACUUUCCAUCAUCCUAGGGUGCCCCCACGCCCUGCUCCCAGCAAAAAUGAAAGUUGGUGUCUAUGAUGUGCUUCAUUGGGGGUGGGGGAGCGCACCUGGGCCCUUGCAGCAAAUGCCACAGGAACUUUGAUGACACAAAAUGAUCAGGAACUCAACUGAACAUCUUCAGCAACCUCUUGACCUUAGUACUAGGAGAGACACUGGUUCCAGAAUGUAGAGUAGAAAGAACUCCUCUAACCAAGUAGUAACUACUUCUUGGAGCACUUAAGUUUUCUAGUGGUCUCCCAUACAACUACUAUUUAAGCCUAAAACAUUUACUUGUGCCAAGAUCAUACUACAAAAUGUUAUAGCUACAAUAUUUUACAAAAUUGUUAUAUUUUGCUACAAGUUCCAUUGUUUAAAGGAGUGUUAGAAAGCACAUAUUUCUUUCAAGCAUGAAGUGAACAGAAAAAGAACAUGCAAAUUAUGUAACUUGUAAAAACAAAUUUUCAGCUAUACAUCAACUGACUUUUAAAAAAAAUAUAUAUUUGAAGCUCUCAAAGAACAAAACAGGAAAAUUAAUUUGGUCUCAAUACCUAGAAGAGGCAAGCCAGAGAGAUGCUACAUGUCUUUGUCAAGAGUCAUAGAAGUAGCGCCUGACUGAUCCAAAAAGAAAACUAUGGUCUUUUGAUGCAGUUUUCUGCUUGAAUUAUAAGAUUCUCUUUGCUCCUAGUAGUUUAGUGGAGUUAUGAUUAAUAAUUUAAACGUUACAAGGACAACACAGCGCACUGCAUAAACACUGCAUAUUAUGCGUAUAAGAAAGCACCCUUGCUAAUUCCAAGUUGGAUUGUGAAACACUGUGUUUUUUCAUCUGUAUCAUUCAGCUAUACUUGUACAUGGUAAAGGAAGUACUAUUCCUUUUAGAGGCUCUCACCUCUGAUAUAACAAACCAUUCAACUUGACACUGCAAAAUAUCCAGUGUUACUGUGAAUUUAUCCCUGUAUUUUGUCUUUUUUUUUAAAAAAGCAUUAAUUUUUAUCUUCCCAUUUUAUGGAGCCCUUAUACUAUUCAGUGAUUUUUCUAAUUGACUUAACACUCAACAAAACUUUUCUGCACAUAGGAGUUUGCAGUAGCACAUACCUGCCACUCCUUAAAAAAGGCACUGUUUGAAAUCUUCCCAAACCUGAAAUUCAAGAGAGUUUAAUCUAACUUUAGAAUAGAAAUUUGUCUAAAACUUGGCCUGUGACCAAUGACUGCAAAGUGAAUUUAGGUUUAAAAUAUUGAAUUGAUUAUAAAGCCUGAAUGCUCACCAUUAAAAUGCAUGCACUUUCCUGCUAGCCAUACACUGAAAAGGCACUAUCAAAUAUAGCGUAUAAAAUGUCUUCAAAAUGA